Molecule: ribosomal RNA, 306 nt
Filed under: Bacillus cereus
Lineage: Bacteria; Bacillati; Bacillota; Bacilli; Caryophanales; Bacillaceae
Description: bacterial SSU rRNA
Rfam family: Bacterial small subunit ribosomal RNA
Source: RNAcentral
AUUGGGCGUAAGCGCGCGCAGGUGGUUUCUUAAGUCUGAUGUGAAAGCCCACGGCUCAACCGUGGAGGGUCAUUGGAAACUGGGAGACUUGAGUGCAGAAGAGGAAAGUGGAAUUCCAUGUGUAGCGGUGAAAUGCGUAGAGAUAUGGAGGAACACCAGUGGCGAAGGCGACUUUCUGGUCUGUAACUGACACUGAGGCGCGAAAGCGUGGGGAGCAAACAGGAUUACAUACCCUGGUAGUCCACGCCGUAAACGAUGAGUGCUAAGUGUUACAGGCUUUCCGCCCUUUAGUGCUGAACUUAACGC